This is a long non-coding RNA of Pomacea canaliculata, 1115 nucleotides long. RefSeq lists it as uncharacterized. The record is from RefSeq and is a predicted model, not a curated record. The transcript has 4 exons. NCBI's taxonomy places the organism in Eukaryota, Metazoa, Mollusca, Gastropoda, Architaenioglossa, Ampullariidae.
GGGCUUAGAAAGAUUUCGGCGACAAAUUCCUCAAGUCACGACAGGACAGAGUGUUGCUGUGAGGAGAUGACUCGUGAUGGCCACCUUAACUACGCGGAUUGCAGGGACUUGCGACCAUUUAUAUGUGAAAAGCAGAUAAGAGGUCAUGUUCGACGUGUUCUUCAAGUUUAACGAGAAAGCUUCAAAAAGGUUGCCUACUAUGGUUGUAAAGACAUCUCCACAAUCGGAUGAUGAACAGCGUGACAUCAAUGAACUGGCAACUUCAUCUCUGUGACCUCGGCUCAUUCUUCAUAAAAAAUCAUAAAGAACCCAGAAAUAUUUAAAUGAUCUGCAAUAAUUUAUAUACUUUUACAGUUUGACUCAAAGCGUUAUUCAGACAUGUUGAAUUUUGUCUUUCUGUUUGGAUUGUUAUGUUUUGGUAGAAUUUUAAAUAUUACUGUGUAAAAAAAGUAUUAGAGAAACUAUUUAGCUUCCCGAACUGUAGCGAUUCUAAUACUAUACAAAAUUAAAAUUAUUUCGGUUUGUAAAUUAAUUUAUUUCAUGUAAUUUAAAGAGAGUAUAUGUGUUUGUGUGUGUUUGUGUGUUUAUACAUUUAUGAAGGCGUAGAUUUCUACACGUAUUUUUAUCCAUCUCAUAUUGCAGUUUGUUUUGUUUUUCAACAAAUAUCAUAAGAUCAUGACAAAAACAAAGGAGUCAGUUCUGGUGUCCACAAAAGAAGAGCCUUUCAUUACAAAAUACGAUUUGUAAAAUCUCGCAAUGAAAGAUAAGCUCAAUUCAGCGGAUGUAAAAUUUGACAAAUGGUCUAAGGGAAGUAACCAAGUGCAAGUUGUUCGAUUUUUGUGUUCAAGAGUUGUCUCCAUUAGUCUUAGGCAUGCCUGAACAUUUUAUUUCCUAGGCUGCUUUGUGUGUGGGGAGGGUGAAUGUUUGAGGGUAAGGGUGGAACAAACGGAGCGGGUUUAGUGGACAAUAGACAAAGGCAGCUGUAUAUCAACCAACAUGGCUGCUCACUGUGUGACCUGAUCACAAUUCUGACAAAACAAUGCAAGAACAAGACAUUAUUUGUGCAUGUAAUAUUUGCAAAUCUGUGUUGCGUAAAAUAAAAUCUCUUAUGCAUU